This is a non-coding RNA of Pocillopora verrucosa, 1804 nucleotides long. NCBI's taxonomy places the organism in Eukaryota, Metazoa, Cnidaria, Anthozoa, Scleractinia, Pocilloporidae. The record is from RefSeq and is a predicted model, not a curated record.
CGAUUAAGCACACAGAUUUCUUUAAACACGGAGUCUUCUCUCUGAUUGGUCUAGACUACAUUUAGCUCUCGACCCAGUUUCUUAAAAGCCACAUUCAAAAUGGCGCAUGAGUUGCCGUGAAUUUAGAACUGAAAGAAUCGAUGUCGCACUGAAUUGUCGGUUUAUUUCGACGGGUGUGUUAUGUUUGAUAACGUAUGAUGGUGACCUGUUCUAAAAAACUUGUCUCACCUUCACUUUAUACAUCGGAUGUGUGAAGUAACGUCUUUCUACCAAGAUGAAAUUCUAAUGUUUACAAGGAACCCCUCGACAGUUAUGCUGGGGAUUCAGACUUUGCGUUAUCUGUCAAGGGUGUCAGUGUUGGCAUUGAAGAUCUCCAGUGACAUGAUCUGUGGAGUGAUAUAUGAUGUUGUGGUGGGAUUUGUGGUUCUCCCAAACAGGAUCACAGUUCCUUUGACUGAUGUUGAUCUGUAUGAAAUACCCCUUGCCUGAUGGCAUCCUUUGCAUUGAAGUCCUGGAAGCUAAAUAGACUUAAUCAAGAAAGACAUUGUUACCAUAUCUAAAGGUUCUACCAAGAUCUAAAUGUCAUUCUCAGAGUGGGAGCCAAGACACAAAGACAAAGGACAACACAGUGAAUCCAAUAUGGAAUGAAACGUUUGAGGCCUUUGUGGACAACUCACAUGGUCAGAAAAUAAAGAUUGGUGUCUUUGAUUAAGACUAAGUGUCUGAUGAUGAAUCUCUUGGAUCAUACAUGUUGAGGCUGACAUUGGUACAAUUGUCCAACAAGGCAAUGUUGGAUUGGAAGAGCAAGAACUGACCAUUAAGAAAUGUAGGAACAAAGUGGACUGUAUGACUGAUGAAAUGAAAAUGUUUCAAAGAAUGACUACGGAGGAUGCAACGCCUAAACAAGCUCUUAAGUCGAGGAUGAGGGAAAGAGUAUAGCGGAAAGAAAAACAGCAAAAAGGGGGAGGGGGUGGGGAAGAGGCAGGUCCCCGCCCACACCACUCCCCUACCUGUCGCUUUAUUCAAAGUUAGCACAGAUUUCUCUGAACGCGGCGUCUUCUUUCUGAUUGGCCUAGACUAGCUUUCGACCCAGUUUCUUAGCAGCCACAUUGAAAAUGGCGGACGAGCUGCCGUUAAUUUAAAACUGAAUCGAUGUCGCACUGAAGAGUCGGUUUGUUUCGACAAUUGUGGUACAUUUGAUGACGGAUGAUGACGUAUGAUGAUGACCUGUUCUAAGAACUAGUCAUAUCUUCACUUUGUACAUCGGAUGUGUGAAGUAACGUCUUUCUUCCAUGAUGAAAUUCUAAUGUUUACCAAGAACCUCUCGACAGAUUUCACAAGCUACUGAGGUUCUACAGACAAAUUACAGAGUGCAGUAAAUAAGUACCAUUGGAAUCACUCACUAAAUCUGGAAAGUCAAUUGAUUAACACUGUGAGCUUGAAGAACCACAACAGACAGAAUUGCCCUUAUGAUACUUCCACAGAAGAUGAAAAACUGUUGGAUUCCCUCUGGGACGUGUGUAAAUCAGCUCAAGACAUGUUGCAGAAACGGGAAGAGCAAGAAAUGACCAUUAAGAAAUGUAGGAACAAAGUGGACUGUAUGACUGAUGAAAUGAAAAUGUUUCAAAGAAUUACUACAAAGGAUACUACGCCUAAACAAGGCAUAAAGAUGGUUUCUGGGAAAACGUCGUGGUCAAUUUAGCAAUGGCAAAGAAGGAGUUUGAAAAAUGCUAAUUCACAAAUUCAUUUGAGUCAUAUUUGAGAAACUUCUUCAUGGACUUCUACAGCUAUUGUUCUCAACUGA